RNAcentral lists this long non-coding RNA (209 nucleotides) under Elaeis guineensis (African oil palm). RNAcentral describes it as "long non-coding RNA (EGUI_LNC001649)". Lineage: Eukaryota; Viridiplantae; Streptophyta; Magnoliopsida; Arecales; Arecaceae. The record is from RNAcentral.
UCAAAUCUGAAUUUUAUCGUUCUUCUUUCCUCAUGGGCAGGAAGCACACCAACAACAUGUGUUGCGAGAUUCCACCAUAUUUUUUGCAAUUGAUUUGCCUUUCGAAGGAUUCCCUUCAGCUUCCAGGUGGACAAUUGAUCGGAAGAUAAUUUCAAUUUGUCCGACCAGUAGACGGGUGGUGUGCUCAUCUUGUGUGACAACACUGCAGA